This 500-nucleotide ribosomal RNA is filed under the name uncultured bacterium. Its description in RNAcentral is "partial 16S ribosomal RNA". It matches the Rfam family "Bacterial small subunit ribosomal RNA", at positions 30 to 523 of the family's 1533-position model. The record is from RNAcentral.
AUUGAACGCUGGCGGCAUGCCUUACACAUGCAAGUCGAACGGCAGCACGGGAGCAAUCCUGGUGGCGAGUGGCGAACGGGUGAGUAAAGUAUCGGAACGUGCCCAGUCGUGGGGGAUAACGUAGCGAAAGUUACGCUAAUACCGCAUACGAACUAUGGAUGAAAGCGGGGGAUCGCAAGACCUCGCGCGAUUGGAGAGGCCGAUAUCAGAUUAGGUAGUUGGUGGGGUAAAGGCUCACCAAGCCGACGAUCUGUAGCUGGUCUGAGAGGACGACCAGCCACACUGGGACUGAGACGCGGCCCAGACUCCUACGGGAGGCAGCAGUGGGGAAUUUUGGACAAUGGGCGAAAGCCUGAUCCAGCCAUGCCGCGUGCAGGAUGAAGGCCUUCGGGUUGUAAACUGCUUUUGUACGGAACGAAAAGGUUUGGCCUAAUAAGCUGAGCUCAUGACGGUACCGUAAGAAUAAGCACCGGCUAACUACGUGCCAGCCGCCGCAGUAA